GAGUUUGAUCUUGGCUCAGAUUGAACGCUGGCGGCAGGCCUAACACAUGCAAGUCGAGCGGUAGAGAGAAGCUUGCUUCUCUUGAGAGCGGCGGACGGGUGAGUAAUGCCUAGGAAUCUGCCUGGUAGUGGGGGAUAACGCUCGGAAACGGACGCUAAUACCGCAUACGUCCUACGGGAGAAAGCAGGGGACCUUCGGGCCUUGCGCUAUCAGAUGAGCCUAGGUCGGAUUAGCUAGUUGAUGAGGUAAUGGCUCACCAAGGCGACGAUCCGUAACUGGUCUGAGAGGAUGAUCAGUCACACUGGAACUGAGACGCGGUCCAGACUCCUACGGGAGGCAGCAGUGGGGAAUAUUGGACAAUGGGCGAAAGCCUGAUCCAGCCAUGCCGCGUGUGUGAGGAAGGUCUUCGGAUUGU
RNAcentral lists this ribosomal RNA (415 nucleotides) under uncultured bacterium. RNAcentral describes it as "bacterial SSU rRNA". It matches the Rfam family "Bacterial small subunit ribosomal RNA", at positions 9 to 426 of the family's 1533-position model. The record is from RNAcentral.